Cyanistes caeruleus (blue tit) is the source of this 378-nucleotide long non-coding RNA. RefSeq lists it as uncharacterized. Lineage: Eukaryota; Metazoa; Chordata; Aves; Passeriformes; Paridae. The record is from RefSeq and is a predicted model, not a curated record.
GUGGGAGCACUGCCCGCCUGCCUUUAUGUGACCUUAACGCGGGUUUCUGUGCAUAGUGCCAAGUAGGAAACGCCGGUGUUUGGUGCCGCGUUAGGCUUCAGCCUGUACUUAGGAAAAAAAAAAAAAAGAAAAAGUUAUUUCAAGUUAAAGAAGUUCAGUCUAAAGAUGUUGAUAAAAGAUGUUUAUUAUAAAAUAAGUAGGUGAGGUCUGAUAUUAUUACCAUGAAGGAUGAUGGAUUCUAUGCAGCAUGGAGGAUUUAUCUGAUAGAAGUUACAAGGCAAAUACACACCAUGCAAGUGACAAGUAAAUGUGACGGUAGAACUCGUGAGCUCUGAGCAGUGCUGUGAAUGUAACACAAAUAAACCUUUCUUAUUUCAA